Molecule: transfer RNA, 87 nt
Filed under: Candidatus Zixiibacteriota bacterium
Lineage: Bacteria; Pseudomonadati; Candidatus Zixiibacteriota
Description: candidate division Zixibacteria bacterium tRNA-Ser
Rfam family: tRNA
About the family: Transfer RNA (tRNA) molecules are approximately 80 nucleotides in length. Their secondary structure includes four short double-helical elements and three loops (D, anti-codon, and T loops).
Source: RNAcentral
GGAGAGGUGGCUGAGUGGUCGAAAGCGGCGGUCUCGAAAACCGUUGUACGUUUGCGCGUACCUAGGGUUCGAAUCCCUACCUCUCCG